Molecule: ribosomal RNA, 253 nt
Filed under: uncultured bacterium
Lineage: Bacteria
Description: partial 16S ribosomal RNA
Rfam family: Bacterial small subunit ribosomal RNA
Source: RNAcentral
UACGAAGGAUGCAAGCGUUACUCGGAAUUAUUGGGCGUAAAGUAUAUGUAGGCGGACCUAUAAGUUAAUAGUGAAAUCCCUGAGCUUAACUCAGGAACUGCUAUUAAAACUAUUGGUCUAGAGUGUAAUAGAGAGUGGGGGAAUUCCUGGUGUAGGGGUAAAAUCUGUAGAUAUCAGGAGGAAGACCGGAGGCGAAAGCGCUCACUUGGGUUAUUACUGACGCUGAGGUAUGAAAGCGUGGGGAGCAAACAGG